UUUUUUUUUUUUUUUGGUCUUUAGAGAGAUUUUUUCACAGAAAAAGAAAAAGAAAAACUUUUCUUUUAAUAGUAUCAUGCUCUUUGAAAGUUUUAAACUUCAAAACACAGCUCCCUCGUUUUUUCAUUUUCUUAUUUAUUGGGUUAAAUCAGGUCAACCCAUUUGGGUGCCUAAUCCUAACUCCAACCGUUAUCAUAAAUAAGUGUUUCAAUUAUUCAUUUAUCAUUAAUUUACUUUUCUAACGAAUGAUAAAACUUCUUUAAACUUUCAAUAACCUGACUAAAAUGGCAUCGGACAACUUACAUUUAAUCUAUAUCAUGGAACGGUUUCGUACAAAAAUUACUUGGCAUUAAUGCUUAAUCACAUUGGAGGGCUAACCUAUUUUGUUUGAUACAUUGGACACACUUCAAUUAUUUAUACAGGCAAAUAAAACAAAAUUGUUCAUAAUUUUAUUCCUACUUGCAAAAAUGAGACAACCAAGUAGCCCUUAAAAUACUAACAAGCAUAAUUUGUAGAUUCUUAAGAAUGUAGGAGGCAUACUGAAUAUUGAAUACAUCUUUCAUAUUUUCAAUCAAUUGACUACCUUGUCUUAUAUCCAUAUCUCACAUUCAUAGGGUGGAUUAGAUUUAGUCCACUGAAAAUGAUGAUCACAAAAGUUUAUUAAAACAAAUGUGAGAUUGUGAUGUGAUUGAUACAAUUAUUUUUAUUAAAAAAAAGGGUCAAUUGUAUGAUUCAAAACAUCCAUACAUAUAUUUAAUUAAUUAAUUAUUAUUAUUUAUAAUUCAUGACCUCGAUUUUCCACUAAAGGAGUGGGUGGAAUUCUUGACAACCACUAAAAUAUGUGGGCAAGUUGUACUUUUUAUAUUUAUUUAUUAUUGUUAUUCAUUUUGUCAAUCCUUGAAUUGAUUAAGUCUAUGUUAUGGGAAAGUGCCAAUUUCUCUCUCCACGUGCAUAGCAUAUGACUAAUUUAUUAAAUUAGUGAAGCUUGAGAUCAACCUGCAGCUGCAUAAGGUAGGGAGAUUACAACUUUUGGUUCGAGGAAAUCAAGGAAACCUUUGAAGGAUUGAUAGAAAAGGGUUUGGUAUUAAUCAUUUGUGUAGCUUCUAUGCUUGAUGCUACUACUCCUAUUCAACCAUUAAUAUAUGGUUUUAAUUUUUUGUACUUAAAAUAGUAUUAAUUUGAGAAUGAAAGCUACUUUAUUGGUAUAAUUUGUAAGGAUUUGCGAUUAAUUUAAACAUAGCCGCUCGUAACCCACCAUAGAACCCUUUUUUAUUUUUUUUUCAAAUUCUUUAUUUGUGAAACUAUUUCAUUGAAAACAAGUUUUAUAAAAUUCAAUAUGGUUUUUGGGAUUUCUCAUCUGAUCGCUCCCGUUAAGCCAAGUUUGAGUAGGUGAUUAUGUUAUUAGAAUUCUUAGGUUUAGGACCGACAAGAGAUCCUCGUGAGUCAAGCUAAAAGCGGUAAGAUGUUAUUUAAAUUGACUUUUGAGAAUUAAAAAUUAUUUUUUAAAUUUAAUAAGAAUUUUUAUGUUUAUUUUGUUAUUUUUAUUUAAAACACUUAGUAGAAACUUAAUUUUAGGUUAUAAAAAAAGCCCUUCUAUAUUUGAUAAAAUCUUUAUAAUACCAAUACCAAAAUUUCAAAAUUAUCUUUUACCUUGUGAUGAAAGCCCAAAAAAAAAAAAGGAGUAAUGCCAUGUGAGGCAUAAGAGGCCUUAGCCCACACCCCACCAUUUACAAAGACAACAAAACCUUGGACCUGGGCCUCGGAGCACAGGCCCAAUGGGAGAAGAAUGGGUGGUCCUCUAUGAAUUUGUACGUUACAAUACUUCAUAUAUGGACUUGAAUGAUGUUCUUAAUUGCUGGAUUUUUUUAAAGAUAAAUGGGAUGGGAUAGUCUCAACAUCAUCAACUUCAAAUCAAUAUUUGUUGAUUCAUUUUCCUUUUUCAGCCUCUUGAAUCCCCAUGCACGUAACGGAUGUUGCUCUCACGAUUUCUCACUAUAUAUACAAACCACAGCAUACAUGCUUCCGCACUCGAUCGACAUGGCUCUGAUGCUGAAGCUCUUUCUUUUCACUCUUCUCUCUGCAUGGAGCCUGGGAUCCAUGGCUUCCGCACGGUACCUGGACAAGAGCUUCAGCCUUGCUGCUCGAUUACAUGCGGACGACGACUCAUCAUCCAAGUGCUGGGAGUCUUUGCUUGAGCUUCAGGCAUGCACUGGAGAGGUUGUCCUGUUCUUCCUCAAUGGUGAGACUCACCUUGGGGCCGGCUGUUGCCAAGCCAUUCAGACCAUUGAGCACCAAUGCUGGCCUGCCAUGCUUACUUCCAUUGGUUUCACUGCCGAGGAGGGCGACAUCCUCCAAGGUUACUGUGAUGCAACCACAUCCUCUUCGGCUCCCCCACCACCACCACCACCACCAUCCAUGGAGCCUAAUGACGUGGUUACCUUGGGUGGCUUUUUCCUCGAUCCUUAGUAGAACGCGUUCUUACUAGCAGUUAUGUCUUUUACAUAUAUCUGAUCCGCUAGUCUAAAUAUAUACAGAAAAGGGUGUUUGGAAUUAAUGAAUGAUUUCCUAUAUAUUGCCCCAUAUUUGUUGCAAUUAAAUUCCAUUUCUUGCUUGAAAAAAAGGUAUAAUAAUUUCCCAUCAUUGAUAGCACUAGUAGUUGUCUUUUAUGGGCUGGACGAGACACACAGAUCGACCCACAAUUCUGCUUACCCAGCCCAUGCUCAGUGGUUUGGACUAACAUAAUUGGAGGCCCAAAAGGGAUAUCAAUAAUAAGAUAAUGUUUGGAAGAUGAGUCUAUUUUUGUAUCUAGAUAAGACCAACUCAUCCCCCUCUAAUUAAUGGAGAGGUAACGGCGUGAAGGGCAAGAUUCUCAAGGACUCAAAAGCCUUUUUGCUUUGAUUUUCCAUCAAGGCAUCAGUGCCAUACACAUAAGUCCAUAAGGUAAUGAAUAAGGAGCGUCAAAUCAGGGUGGGAUGCGAAUAUGCGGAUUGAAAGCCAAGUAUUGAUUUUAGUGGUAUGAGGUGGGUCGUGUAUGGAUGGUGACAUCUAACUAUAAGUCUCUCAAAAGACUUCAAACUUCCCCCCAUCUCCGCCUUCUUUCAUGCUCUUUCCACUCUUCUUUUAACGUAGUAAUUUUUUUUCCCUUUGGGUAAUUAGGAUCUAAGCAUGGAAGAAGAGAAUAUUCGGAUGAGUGUUUCAAGAGUUCUUGGCUUUCUACACAUUGUUACUUCAUUUUCAAGCUGAGGAAUCAAUUGGUCAUUUGUUAUGUGCUUGUUUGUGAUCAUUGGGAAGCAGAUUUAGGGUUUUGAAAGGUCAAAUGCUAAUCAACAGAAGAAGAAAUUUACACCCCAUGCCAACAUAAAGAGAUAAUUGUGGUUAGGAUAGAUUUCAUAUAAUUAACUUCAACUAACUUCUCAUGACCUGCCAUUCCUAGUCAUCAUUCAGUUAGUUAUUUCCUUGCUAUGCCCAUGAUCGAUGCAUCGACCGUUUGCCACUUGUUUUCAUCCAAAAACCUGUCAUUUUCUCUCCGAUCUCGAUCCACUAGAAUGGAUCAAACUGGAUUCUUUCUUCCUCUGGAAUAAUGUAAAGCUAGACUAAAAUUUUAUACAUUCCUCUAUUGGUUGAUGGUUUAUUAAUGGUGAGAUAUCUUGUACAAAUUGAAUCAUCAAGGUCAUUGGAGUGGUGUCCUUGUUGACUAAUUAAUGGGUCCAUGUUUCAUGAUCAUAAGGCCAUCUUGCAUGAUUCAAAUAUACCCUAUUGAAAUGGUAUACAUACACAUGCACAUUGUUCAAAAACGCCCUAGAAAAAGGAAAGGAGGAUAAAAAGAAAUACAAGUCGUCCACUAGUGCCAUAUGUGGAAAAGUAGUGAGCAUACAGAUCUCAACUCCCCUAGAGAAAAUUGUCCUCGUAUGGAACCUCAACAAUGAAUUCUAGAGAAAGCUGUCAAGUGAUCACAGUCCAGAUGAAUCUUGAUUUAGAAGUUAGAAAAAUGAAGGGUUGUUAGGUUAGGGUAGUUAGUCAAUGGCACAAAGAUGUUAUCUUAAAAGUUGUGGAGGAGAGGAGAGGAGAGGAGAGAGUCAGAAAAAAGAAUGAACCUAUCAGAAGAAAGUAAGAAACAUCAAACUAUAAUCUUAUUAACAUGGAACGAUAAUCAUGAUAAAGCCACACAACAAGGGUUUCACAAGGACACACAGAGAGACCCAGGAAACAAGACACAAACUCAUCCAACAUAGCUCAGACAUAGAAAUUAUUUAGCAUAGUUGCUCACUGGCAAUUGUAAAUCUAAUUACACAACAAGCACACAUGCAUGCGUCUAGAAAAGAUGGUGAUGCUUCUUUCCAUGAGCCUCUUCAUCUUCUUCCUUGGCUUCUUUCUUCUCGUGAUGCUCGUGGAACGCGAACCCGCCAGCUCCCACUGCAGCAGCCGCGGCAAUCUCUUCUUCUAUCUUGUGCUUGUGGGCAUGCUCAGGGUCUUUCUCCGACUUGUGCUUCUCAUGCUAUAAUUCAAGCAUCAUCAAGACGAUAAGAAAUAGUUCCUUUGUAUAAAAUUAAUUAAAACAAAAAUAUUUUCAAACUUCAUGACACACGGGGCAUUACCAAGGCGUAAGCGCCAGCAGCAGCGACGCCGAGCUCGCCGAGGUGCUCGAGAUGCUUGUGGUGCUUCUCCUCCUUCCUGUAGUCAGGGCCUGGGUCAUCUGCUAACACUUCGGUGGUUUCGGCAGCGUAGCCGCUGACACCAUCGGUAGCAUAGCUGGUGUCGGAGUAGGUGGUGUCGGAGUAGGGAACGGCGUCGUCAACAGGCUUGUCCUUGUGGUGGAAGAGGUGGUGGUGAUGCUUCUCCUCCGACAUGGUGGUGGUGAUCAAAUUAGCUGCAGAAACGAGAGAGGAAGAUGGUUUGUGAACUGUGAAGGUGUGAUGUGGGAGAGUGCAGUGGUGGGUGGUGGGGUAUUUAUAAAUGCUGGUUGCGAAGGUGUCCAAAGAUCGUGGGAGAGAUGAAUGGGUAUUGGGAAUGGCCCGAAUGGGUGGGGCCUCACCAUUCACCAUUCUUAUCUACAUUUUUCAAAUCUCGAUGGCUCCUACUCUGUCGAUACUUUGUUUUUGUGUCGGCAAUUUCAUUGGAUCUUUAACCACGACAUUUUUUAACCACAUUUUUAGAUUUCCGUGAUAUUAUCAUAAUUGUUUUUGUUAGUCAUUCGUUGGAUUUAUUUCAAAAGUAGGAAAAUGUUUGAAAAAUAUACAUCAUCAUUUGCGUCUUUGAUCCACUCUCAAUAGGAAAUAAAUAAAUAAGAAAAGAAAACCACAAAGUCUCAGGUAGCAAAGAGUCCAUAUCAAAGUAUCAAACCUUUUUAUCGAUGAAUAUUUUUAGGAAGAACAAUCUAUUAUUUGUAAAAUAAUUUUUAUAUAUUGAGUGAUAACCCUUCAAUUCGAUAUCGUUAGAUCAUUAAGGUCGGCUUUUGUCCCUAUUCGACGGGUGGAUCUUGUAGUCAAACUCCCUUUUACCUUUGCACUCAAGGUCCAUCUUUGUUUUGCUUGAGAAAACCUUUGUUAAUUUCCAUUACCUUUUGAGAGACUUACGCUCUAUAAAAAUUAUUUAUCUAUUCCUUGACGAGGAAAUUCAAAUUCUUUUACUUAAAUUUAUUUUAUAAAACAUUAAAAAAGGUUAAAUAUAAUAAAAUUAUUAAAAAUUUGAAUUUAAGAAAUCAUUUAUUUUUUAAAUUUUGACAUGAACAUAUAUGGGUAAAAAACAAAAAGAGACAAAAACAAAAUAUGUUUUUUUGUGCAGUAAUCAAUUAAAAAAUCACUUUCAAUUUAAUAAAAGAUGUAAUUUUUAAUAUUAAAGCUUAGAGAAAAAAGAAUUGACUUGAUUGGAAUGAAUUACAAAAAUCACACCCCAAUGAAGAGGAACCCCAUACAGCACCUCCUUUCCUUUUCAUAAAGCAAAGACCUUUCAUCAGUAGGCAUGUGAAGGAGGGAAAUGAACUUGGCAGAUUCCACCUUAAAGUGCUAAAACAUGGCACUUGCCCCUCUUUCUAAUCAAACUUAACCCCACCUACAUUAUCUACAUUAUUUAUUGUACAUUAUCUUUCUCCAACUAAUACUAGUAUUUCACAUCUCACAAUUUUUUUAUUCUAUUGGAUGUGAGUCUAUUAUUGCAGUUAGGUCAGCUAAUCAGGAUCCCAUGGAUAAGGUGCCACAUAUUAAUAUUUUAGCCUUUUAGGUGUUGCUAUUCAUCCUCCUUUAUGACUUGGGCUCCAUUUCUUUGCUUGAACCUCACUUUUAGGGUAAUUUCUUUUCUUGGACUAUUAGUUUAUUUGUUGCACAUAAAAAGGCCACUUUAAUGGCCGUCAAACUUUGAUAAAAUAUGUCUUAUUUUGUACUUUAAGGUGGUGUUUAUUUUUUAAUUGAAUAAAAAAAAAAUAAAAAUAUUUGAUUUUUUCUAUUUAAUUAAAAGUAAUUUGUUGAGAUCGUUCAAUGUAACUAAAAUGAACUUGUUAUCAAUAAAUUUACUUUAGUUAUGUUAGACAAUAUUAAUAGGUUACUUUUAAUUGAAUAGAAAUAAAAGUCAUUUUAAUUAUAUUGGACAAUAUUAACAAGUUAUUUUUAGUUGAAUAGAAAAAACUAAAUAUUUUAAUUUUUUUUAUUCAGUCAAAAAACAAACAUCACCUAUAAAAAUUGAUAACUUUUAUAUAUUUGUACUAUGGUAGAUGGGCUUGGCCCACUUGGGCGUAGGGUAGAUAUUUGAAUUUUGAACAGAAAAAAAAAAAAGGGAAAAAAGGAAAAAAGGAAAGGGGAAAGAGAAGGAGAAGAUAAAUCAAUAAAUCAUAAAAGCAGGAAGGAGAGGUGGAAAAUGGUCCUCUGGUCUGGACCAGGAGAAAGUGGCCGGUGAUGGGGCCCAUUGGGUCUGUGUCGGCAAGGCCCCAUUUAUUUCGGCAUCAAUAUACCUGCCUGAUUGGUUCCAUGCCUGCCAUAUGUUUACGCUUUUGUCAAUUAUUAUAAAAAACAACUUCUUUGUCAAUAAACUCUUUAAUUUUUACUUCUCUAUCGUCUUUAAUGGGUGUGAAAAAAGUCAUACAUGCCUAUUGUAUUCUUCUCCUUUUUAGUAGGUAAAAACCUACAGGCUAUCCCUAAACUGAAUUUUAUAAUAUUUCAGAAAAUAUGAAAUUUAUUUUUAAUUAAUAAAAAUUUGGAUUAAAUAUCAAUCAUAAUUUCAUAACUGAUAUGGCCGGUGAUAAAGAACGAGUGAGUCACGCUAGGGCCACGGAUGUAUCACAUUCAUGGUGUGCCUGGGCUUAGUGGUUGAUGUGAAAUAGAUAUAGGUGUAGCGCAUAGUGUAAACGGGCCCAGGGAAAUUCAAAAUCGCGUUGCCACGUUCCAUAGAAAGGACAAGAAAUUAGAAGCUGGGAGUGGUCCACGUCUUCCAGGUAACCCCCACGCUGCUAACGAUUAUUCAAUGCCUUCCUACUCCAAAUCAAACCUAAUGUUCAACAUCGACAUGUCUCAUAUGACACAUCCUUAUAGAUGAAGUUGGUGAACUGUGGAGAAGAGAGAGUAAGGGCGUGUGAGCGGAGAUAAUUCACAAUUGAUUGGCAGGUUUCGGAUAUUUUCUUCGGCUUUGUCCUGGGUUUUUGGAAAGGUUUGAUUGGCCCGACCCAAUCCUACAACCCAUACUAAACCACACAAUCGAAUCCUACGAGAGACCAAACCCAACCUUAAAUCAAGUUCCUCAUUAUGGGCUUCAUAGCCCAACUUAGCACUCCAGCCCAUCCUAACAUUGGGAAAAAUAAAUUAAUGAAAAUUAAGACUAGAUAUGAAUAAUUUCUUUUAUUAUCUUAAACUGCUGAAAGGGAUUAGUUAUCCUACACAGCUUGAACAGAAAAAGAGCCCUCUAAAACUCACCUACUUGAGAUUUAAGGCAUAAAAAAGUCCUUACCUUAAUAAUUGUAAGAGAUCGUUGGAUCAAAUGAUUCAAAUCUGGGACUUGCUCACACAAUCAAUCCAUUUCAUGAGACGAAUUACCAGUGAGGCUCUCUUCACCAUCUACAAGAUUUCGGAUGUAGCGAGUCAAGUAAGAACUUGGACCAUAGCAAAUGCUUGAUAAAAACCCUCCAUACAGUAAGCAAUGGAUGCCAAGCUUAAACAGAUUUUUCCUCUCUUGGUUGGUGUCUCUCUGUGCUUCAUACCCACCAGUACUUUCUUCAUCCCAACUCGAAGAAUCCAUGGCAGUGCAGCCUGAAUGAGCCUGAAAACCCCAGAUCUUGGAAGUUUCCAUCUUUUGCAGCCAGUUGGAAUCAAUGGGAUCUUUAAAUUUUUUACAAAGAUGGUGUCCCUGGAUCAGAAAACUCCAAACUUUUGGUGUAAUACUUGAGACACAGUUAAGGAACUGCUUAGAUAUGUUCUCCAAUCCUCCAUUAUGAGCUUGACUCCCAAAAAAAUUGGCCUCGAAUUCAUCUGCUAGUGAGCACUCAUUGCAUUUAUGACUCUGAAGAGACGAAAGAUUUAGAACAGGCAACCUCCCUUUCACAAAGGAAUUCAAUAGUGAGCUUCUAGCAAGACUUAAAAGGGACUCCCCAGCAUUCAUCCAGAAGUUUGCAAUUGAUGCGAUCAAAGAAGAGUCAGAGAGGAAAAUACGGUGGGUUGCACCUGCAAGCAACAAGGAGUAUGCUGCACUGGUCUUGAUCAAGCUCAAGGCUUCCAGCUCAUCUCCGUCCAUUUCAGAAUGCAGAUCCAGUAAUUGACUAGCACGGACUCUGUAUGCAGAAGCCAGUGUUGUGUAGGCGGCCAAAGAGAGAUGGUGCAGGGGGUGCAACUUGAAAUUUGCUUGUGAUUUUCCCUCAAUUGGUUCUAACUGCUCAUCUGGAAGACCUUGAGCAAUAACAUUCUCAAGCUUCUCACAGCAAGCUUCAGGGUUGCCAACUGACAAAUAGUCAGCUAUAGCAUCAUCUACAUAAUCAGUCAACUUUCUGAUUUCCUCCUCUCUACACAUGUUAUCAUCUAUGUAAUUGAGACUAUGAGCCAAAGUUUCCUAUAGGGAAGAACAGAGAAAUGUCAAUCCUUGUUUUAUGACAGUACUAGAAUUCAGGCACUUCAAUUGCAGAUUAAAAAAUGCUUGUGAAGUUCAGACUUCAGAGUUGAUACAGAAAUAUUGUGAGUACUUCACCGUACAAAGUGGCCCCCGAAAAAUAACCAGAGUGGACAAGGGAAAGGAUAAAACAGGAUGAGAAAAGCUACUAUGAAUUACUCAAUAGCUUUUCCUAGUUCCAAUUGAUAUGGAGAAAAAGACUCCAACUGUCUGUCAGCCUUUUGAGAAGGAAAAAGCAGAUGUAACUAAGGGAGACAACUUGAAGAAACAAAAGAUAUGAAAGGCAAAGAAGAAAAUAAAUAGCACACAUACAGAUUCUGGAUGCAGCUCUAAUUGCAAAUGACGCAGCUGACUCAAGGGAGAGAAGCUCUAGGGCUGGUUUAGUUUGCAAGUUGGACAUAUGUACUUUGGUGUGCCCCUUUUGGCAUUUUAAUACAAUUUGCACUUACCUAUCAAAAAAAAAAAAAAGUUUGCAAUUUGGACAUAGAAAAGGCUUAUGACCAUGUUGAUUGGAAUUUUCUCCUCCCAGUAACGAAAAAGAUGGAGUUUGGUCUAAAAUCGAGAAAGUGGAUUCAUUUUUCCAUUGUAAGGAUGUCAAUCUUAGUCAAUGUUUCUCCUUCAGAUUUCUUUCAGACAUCUAGAGGAUUGUGGCAGGGUGAUCCUCUCUCACCCUAUCUCUUCAUGAUUGUCAUGGAAGCUCUACAUUGUAUACUCUCAAGGGCUGACUAGGGAGUGUUCAUUCAUGGCUUCAAGGUCAGGGGCAGAAGGGGUGAAGGUUUCCAAGUAUUCCAUCUCCUGUUUAAGGAUGAUAGAAAAAUUUGGAUCAACUAAGAUACUGGAGGUGGAUUGUAAUAGGCUUCAAGGUUGUGUUAGGUCUGAAAAUAAACCUGUAAAAAAGUAACUCAUUCUAAUGGGGAAAGUGGAGGAUGUGGUGAGAUCAUCAUCUUUGCUUGGGUGUAAGAUUGGAAGGCUUCCCACUUCUUAUCAUGGUUUGCCCUUUGGAGUGCUUCAUAAGUAUUGCGUUGUAUGGGAUGCUGUCAAGGAAAUGUUUGGUAAAAGAUUGGCUUCUUGGAAGGUGUGGUAUUUGUCAAAAAGAGGAAGAUUAGUUCUUUCAAAGAGCACUUUCUCAAGCUUAUCAAUCUAUUUUAUGGCCUUUUUUUCUAUUUCCAGGAAAGUGAGGAUCAAAUCAUAAAGGAUUCAGAGAGACUUUUUGUAAGGAAAUCUUUGGUAAACCAAUAAGAUGCAUUNNNNNNNNNNNNNNNNNNNNNNNNNNNNNNNNNNNNNNNNNNNNNNNNNNNNNNNNNNNNNNNNNNNNNNNNNNNNNNNNNNNNNNNNNNNNNNNNNNNNAGGAAGAACAUCCAAAGAAAGUGCAGGGAACUGGUCAAGGGGUGGAACAUUUGUGAGGUGAGGGAGACUUCUGGUAUAAGCCUAUGGAAAGACUUAAGAAAAGGUUGGGAGGAAUUCAACCACAGGAUAGCUAUCCAAAUUAAAAAUGGUAGCCAGACAAAAUUUUAGAGGGAUGGGUGGGUGGGUGGGGGGGAACUGUUUGAAAGAAGCAUUUCCUCUAUUGUUUAGUCUAGCUUCUCAAAAGAAUGCCAUUGUUGCAAACAUGUGGGAUGGGAGAGGUAGUGGAGGCCAGUGGGUGCAUUUCAAAAGGCCAUUCCAAGAUUGGGAAAUGGAGGGGGUGUCCUAAUUUUUAGAACUUAUUUAUUCAUACAGCAAAAGUGCAAGAAGAAGGGAAAGAUAUCUUAGUUUGGAAGGAGGAUAGGAAGAGAAUCUUCAGUACUAAGUUGUACUACAGUUCAUUGUGUGCCGAAUUUAGAGUGGACUUCCCAACCAAAGAAAUUUGGGGGCUCCCAAGCUCUUACGAGAUCAUGUUUUCUCACUUGGGAAACAGUAUGGGAGAAGAUCUCAACCAUAGAUUUGUUAAUGAAGAGGGAUGGACAAUGUUAAUAGAUAUAGUCUUUGCAAAGAGAGUGAUGAGUCUGCUGAUCAAAUUUUCAUUCACUGUGCAAUGACAAAGGUAUUAUAGAUGUUUGUUUUAUCAAUUUUUAGUUAGAAAUAAGUUUCUAGCUACAGUGAGGAAUAUGCUUCUCAAGUGGAAGUUUUUAAGGUAUUGGACAAGAAGAGUCACCAUCUUUGACAAAUGACACCCCUCUGCUUAUUCUGGUGUAUAUGGAAAGAGGGAAACCAUAAAAUCUUUAAUGGGGAAGAGCUUGCAUAUUAGAGAUUAAAAGAGAGCUUUAUUAAAUCCCUCUUUGAUUGGUCCAAAGUUCUGUUAGAAAUGGGCAAUUCUGAAUGAUGGCUUUCGUAAAUGGUCUUAGUUGUGGAUAGUUUGGUUUUGAGUUGAGGUUGUUUUUUUAUUCGUUGUUUUGUUUUUUUUGUGUUUACUCCCAGUAUAUGUAAGGUAUGCCCCCUUUCAUUGGCAUGCUCUUUUAAUAUAUUAUCCUUUUGCUUAUCAAAAGAAAAAAAGAAAAAAGAAAAAAGAAAAAUAAAGAGAACACAUAAAUCAGGGGAAGGAUGAAGGAAUUAAACCAAUAGGAAUGAGAAACAGUUGGGUAUAUUUUUUCGACAGAUACUUCAUGCAGCAGGGGCAAGAUGGGGGAAAACCUUACCACUCCUGGUGCCAUAAAUGUGGCAUAUAUGCAUCGUGUUCUAACUCCACACCUAGUACUAUAAUUUUCACAGAAGACGAUCACCCUUCCCCACCCAGCAAAUCUAAAAUCAAGUUGCAAAAUGAAUCUUCUAGACUGCUUUCGGAUUUCUCCUAAACAUCAAAAUAAACAAAUGAUAGGCAUACUGUUCCAUAGAAGUCUUACUUGCAAAACAAGAUCCACAUAAGUAGGGGGCGAUGCAUUACAACGGUUACAGCAACAGGAAAACCAAUACUUCACCCAUAACUCUGCAUGUCUAAUUUCCUGGAAAAUCAAAUCAGUGCAAAUAAAAGCGUAUAACGUGAACUCAAAAAACUAAAAAAAAAACAGAGUAUAGAAGGAUGAGUUGGAACACAUUUUAGCACAAUGCCACUGAGUUCACUUACACUAUGGUGAUUAUGCAAGUAAUAUAAAAUCAUGCAACUUCUCAUUAGGUCGACUCCUUGUCAUUUUUCGCAAUCACUUCAAACAUAAGGCACAAUGCAAUAAUCUAAAAGCUUAAAAGUAAUAGCAGAUAUGCCAAAUUUACAAGCACAUUUUGCACAUUCAAUCUCUUAACAGUGGAACUGUAGAUACUGAAAAUGAAGAUUACCUUAGGCUGCAACAGGUCUAUGUAUGCAACCCACACCUCCUCACCCUUUUUAAUUGCCUUGAUGCUCCGAACGAUGAUUCUUGGCCCGUGUAUGUUGCAUCCUUUACUAGAGAAAAUCAAUUACAAGUAGAUAAUCAAAAUAUCCAAUAAAUUCACAACUGAUUUUUUUGAGAAACCAAAUUGAAAAAAACAUAAAAUAAUUAAAAUAAAAAAGAUUCAAUCACCUUCUAUUGAUUCACUUUUGCUACGAACAGCAUUCUGUAUCUGAAAAACAUUUCGGUUUCAUAAUUUUCAAAUCCUUUGAAUAUGGUUAAAAUUAAAGAAACAAUUCAGAAUUUAGGAAUAGUGAUCUAUUUUUCUUUACUUCAAUUUCAUCAUUGCCUCCAGGGAUAAUCUGGAGCCUCGACUCGCCAGAAAACUGGGGCGUCUCAGGUGAACGGAGCAAGAAACGGUAACAAGCAUUGGGAGAACAGCUGUGAUUGAUCCAAGAGAAGCACCAAUCGUAGACGGCUAUCCCUAGGGCGGACCCUCCAUUAACCUGCACUUCAACUGCAUUGGUGAGGACCAGGCAGAGCAGGGCCUCCUCCAGUUUGGAGUCCCCGGAGAAUUCCGUACCAUCUCGCAUACAUCGGGCAACGGCCAUGGCCUUGCCGCCGUCUCGGAUUCUCGUCAGAGUCUCAUCACUUUCCGAGUUGUGGGAGGGUGAGAUGAGGUGGUGGAGGUUGGUGAGUAGGCCGCAGAUUCGAUGGAGCGGUUGGGUAUGGAGGGGAGGGAGGUGGAGGAUGUGGAGGAGGCGGAGGGCAGCACGGAGGUCGGAGGAGUGAGCGGUGGAGGGGUGGGAAUGGCGGAGGAGGAGGAAGAGGUGGUGCUCGGCGCUGGAGAAGUGGAG
This 13213-nucleotide long non-coding RNA is filed under the name Vitis vinifera (wine grape). RNAcentral's name for it is "long non-coding RNA (VVIN_LNC006177)". Lineage: Eukaryota; Viridiplantae; Streptophyta; Magnoliopsida; Vitales; Vitaceae. The record is from RNAcentral.